GUAGUCAUAUGCUUGUCUCAAAGAUUAAGCCAUGCAUGUCUAAGUAUAAGCAAUCUAUACGGUGAAACUGCGAAUGGCUCAUUAAAUCAGUUAUCGUUUAUUUGAUAGUACCUUGCUACUUGGAUACCUGUGGUAAUUCUAGAGCUAAUACAUGCUAAAACCCCCGACUUCGGGAGGGGGGUAUUUAUUAGAUAAAAAACCAAUGCCCUCCGGGGCUCCCUGGUGAUUCAUAAUAACUCAACGAAUCGCAUGGCCUUGCGCCGGCGAUGGUUCAUUCAAAUUUCUGCCCUAUCAACUUUCGAUUGUAAUGUAGUGGAUUACAAUGGUGUCUACGGGUAACGGGGGAUUAGGGUUCGGUUCCGGAGAGGGAGCCUGAGAAACGGCUACCACAUCCAAGGAAGGCAGCAGGCGCGCAAAUUACCCAAUCCCGACACGGGGAGGUAGUGACAAUAAAUACUGAUGCAGAGCUCUUUUGGGUUUUGCAAUUGGAAUGAGUACAAUUUAAAUCCCUUAACGAGGAACAAUUGGAGGGCAAGUCUGGUGCCAGCAGCCGCGGUAAUUCCAGCUCCAAUAGCGUAUAUUAAAGUUGUUGCAGUUAAAAAGCUCGUAGUUGAAACUUGGGCCUGGCUGGCCGG
This 635-nucleotide ribosomal RNA is filed under the name uncultured fungus. RNAcentral's name for it is "SSU rRNA". It matches the Rfam family "Eukaryotic small subunit ribosomal RNA", at positions 20 to 658 of the family's 1831-position model. The record is from RNAcentral. Lineage: Eukaryota; Fungi.